CAAAAACAUGUCCUUUUGUUUAUAAAUAUAAGGUCUAACCUGCCCAAUGAUUAAUAUUGAAUGGCCGCGGUAUAUUAACUGUGCUAAGGUAGCAUAAUCACUUGUCUUUUAAUUAAAGGCUAGAAUGAAUGGUUGGACGAAGUAUUAACUUUCUUUUACUUAAUUAUAAGAAUUUAAUUUUUUAGUUAAAAAGCUAAAAUUUGUAUGAGGGACGAGAAGACCCUAUAGAUCUUUAUAUCUAUUAUUAUCAUAUAAUUUAGUGAAUUAAUUAUUUUGAUAAUAUAAGUAUUUGGUUGGGGUGACUAUAGAAUAUAAAUAACUUCUAUUAAUAUUUUUCAUUAAUUAAUGUUUAACUGAUCCAGUUUUUCUGAUUAAAAGAUUAAGUUUCCUUAGGGAUAACAGCGUAAUUUCUUCGGAGAGUUCUUAUCGAUGAAGGAGUUUGCGACCUCGAUGUUGGAUUAAAAUAAGUUUUACGUGUAGUAGCUUAAUUACUAGGUCUGUUCGACCUUUAAUUUUUUACAUGAUCUGAGUUCAAACCGGAGAA
This 544-nucleotide ribosomal RNA is filed under the name Nagusta sp. 00019755. Its description in RNAcentral is "partial 16S ribosomal RNA". It matches the Rfam family "Bacterial large subunit ribosomal RNA", at positions 1808 to 2623 of the family's 2925-position model. The record is from RNAcentral. Lineage: Eukaryota; Metazoa; Arthropoda; Insecta; Hemiptera; Reduviidae.